This 29-nucleotide non-coding RNA is filed under the name Rattus norvegicus (Norway rat). Lineage: Eukaryota; Metazoa; Chordata; Mammalia; Rodentia; Muridae. The record is from RNAcentral.
UUGUGCCAAACUGUAAAUGCAAAUCUAGU